Long non-coding RNA from Mastomys coucha (southern multimammate mouse), 472 nucleotides. RefSeq lists it as uncharacterized. Lineage: Eukaryota; Metazoa; Chordata; Mammalia; Rodentia; Muridae. The transcript has 2 exons. The record is from RefSeq and is a predicted model, not a curated record.
ACUGUCCUCCGUGCUACUCUGCACAAACAAGCAGAAGGGCCGUUUAUGCAGAUUCCGCCGAACUUAACCUAUACACUGGAGAUUCACUUCAAAAAAUUAAAAAUAGGUUUUUAACUAGACCAGCGAUAGUUUGUUUUUACCAAUACAACGUACAGACACACCUCCCAGCAACGGGUGUGUGGACGAAAGGGGAUUACAGUGGGUUCUAACUUGGCCAGAGACUGUGCCCGGCUGGGGCCCCCUGAAGUUCACCGAGAUCGAACGCCCUGGCUGCCCGUAACUUCCCAGAACACGGAGGGAUGUGUCGCGACAGAGCGCCGAGCCCGUCACCCGCGUCCCUGCGCUCCGCCGACCCUCGUAUAGAACCCCGUGUACAGAAGAAACUUGCUUAUUCUAAGAAGUCUGAACUAGGAACAAAUCAGUUCACUGUUCUAACAAUGAACCUGAUAUUAUAAAUUACACAUUACUGGUG